UACUGCAGAUGUUCCAAGAGCUGGCGGAGAGCAGAGUUCAAAGAGGGAAUAUUGAAUUUACAUUUGUCAAGUGGCUAAAAAACACGACUGCAAACGAAUUCUAACGUCUCUCCGUGUCUGCUCGACGUGUGAGUAACAACUUCACGAGCUGCUGAAACGCGGUGGUGGCUGUGGUUUUGUCGGAGCAAUUAAAGCAGCGUCAAAUCAACGACAUCAUCGCCACAUUAGAGGCCAGAUGUGAUCGAACAGUGUGCUGCAUGCAGGAUGAGGUCUCCAUCAGCACGGAGCUCAUGAUCUGCAGGGGAGGAAUAUCCAGGGGAUGUCCUGUGGUGUCAUGGCUGCCUUCCCACACGCUGUAUUUCAGGGUGCUGAUAUUCUGAAUGGGAUCCAAGGUGGUGCAGCUCCAUCACGAGUCUCGACACCUGGAUGUUAAUUUGGUUUUGCAGCCAGAGAGAUCUCAGCUGGAAACAAACUAAAAUGUGAAUG
This is a long non-coding RNA of Pleuronectes platessa (European plaice), 486 nucleotides long. RefSeq lists it as uncharacterized. The record is from RefSeq and is a predicted model, not a curated record. NCBI's taxonomy places the organism in Eukaryota, Metazoa, Chordata, Actinopteri, Pleuronectiformes, Pleuronectidae. The transcript is spliced from 3 exons.